RNAcentral lists this long non-coding RNA (1058 nucleotides) under Amborella trichopoda. RNAcentral describes it as "long non-coding RNA (ATRI_LNC001103)". The record is from RNAcentral. Lineage: Eukaryota; Viridiplantae; Streptophyta; Magnoliopsida; Amborellales; Amborellaceae.
UUUACAUGAAAUAAAUUGACCCAAAAUCCCCCCAAAAAUUUUUGGGGGGUAUUUUGAUCAUUUUGUUUUCUCGAAUAAUUUUUUUUAUAUUUUUAUUAGGUACGCCUUGAUGAGAAGAACACACACCUAAAAUUUCAAGUGAUUUGGAUUUGUAGAAAAAUAAAUAAAAUUCAAGCACUACCGGACAUCCGUGAUAGUCAGAUCGGCCCAAAUUCAAUCUGGGCCGUUGGGCUCAUAUCUUCAUAUAAGCUAGUGGGCUAAUCUCAGCUUUUUCCUACAUAUAUAUGGGAAAAGUUUCUAUAAUUCUCCUACAGCAUAGAAGAACUAUCCUCCCCCUACCAUCCAGCCAUCCAAUUUUGAUCAAAAGAGCCACUCACCGUUGAUCUUAGACCAGACGUCUUAAAGUAUUUUAUUUUUAGUUUUUUUUAUACAAAUUGUAUGAAUAUGAAAUUUCGUACGUGCCAUCUUCUCAUUGGGGCGCACCUAUAAAAAAUAUUAAAAAUAAUUUUUCCAUAAAAUAUAAUGACCAAAAUACCCCUUGAAACUUUCAGGGGUAUUUUGAUCAUUUUAAUUUAUUGAAAAUAUUUUUUUCGCUAGUGCGAGUUUAAUAGAGGAUUGGACAUCCAAAAUUUGGUCUCAAAAUAGUUUAUAGAAAAAAAUUAAAAAUAAAAUAGUGUAUAGACGUGACAUUGUGAUUGGGGCAUAUAUAUAUAUAUAUAUGGAAAACACUACGCAACGCCUAUAGGCGAAAAUGAACAGUGAUUUCGCCUACCCCCAUCACCGUCCAAAGUUCAUCGUGCGGUCACGAUUGUCCGGUAGUGUUACAUUUUUUAUUUUUUUCUGCAAAUCGGAAUGACCUGAAAUUUGGAGCAUGUAUUCAUCAAAAAUAAGAGAAUCUUCAAAAUUUUAAACAAAUAUUUUACAUGAAAAAAAUUGACCAAAAUACCCCCGAAAAUUUUUGGGGGUAUUUUGGUCAAUUUAUUUUUCACGGAUAAUUUUUUUUAUAUUUUUAUUAGAUGCGCCUUAGUAAGAUGUACAGACCCUGCAAAUUUCAAGCC